This 73-nucleotide transfer RNA is filed under the name Calditrichota bacterium. RNAcentral's name for it is "Calditrichaeota bacterium tRNA-Thr". It matches the Rfam family "tRNA". From Rfam's summary of the family: Transfer RNA (tRNA) molecules are approximately 80 nucleotides in length. The record is from RNAcentral. Lineage: Bacteria; Pseudomonadati; Calditrichota.
GCCUACAUAGCUCAGAAGGUAGAGCACUUCCUUGGUAAGGAAGAGGUCACCGGUUCGAGUCCGGUUGUAGGCU